Non-coding RNA from Glossina palpalis gambiensis, 189 nucleotides. NCBI's taxonomy places the organism in Eukaryota, Metazoa, Arthropoda, Insecta, Diptera, Glossinidae. The record is from Rfam.
AUUUCACCAUAGCAAGCGCGCUUACGACAACCAGCCUCCGCGAAAUAAUACUUAACAGGCGUCCCGCGGGGGAAACUGGAGGAAGCGUGUGUCGGGGAUAGUUUUUAGUAAGUAGGCACCAUGGAUGGCGAAUCUUGAAUGCUGCUAGUAAGAACCAGCCGUAUCUGUUAAAGAUUUUCUGCCUCUAGC